Long non-coding RNA from Bufo gargarizans (Asiatic toad), 285 nucleotides. RefSeq lists it as uncharacterized. The transcript is spliced from 3 exons. The record is from RefSeq and is a predicted model, not a curated record. Lineage: Eukaryota; Metazoa; Chordata; Amphibia; Anura; Bufonidae.
CUUACGUGAAUGUGCCAGUAAUGAGGGUUUCUUCUUUUAUAGGCUCAGAAAGACCGUUGAGAAGCCGUCCAAUCAGCUGUCAAGAAGACCCCGAGAUCAACAGACCCAGGGAUUAAUCCAAACUCAUAUAAACAGAAUAUGCGUUUUCCGCAAUAACACAACCCGGACCUUCAAAUUGAGGCUCAGAAAGACCGUUGAGAAGCCGUCCAAUCAGCUGUCAAGAAGACCCCGAGAUCAACAGACCCAGGGAUUAAUCCAAACUCAUAUAAACAGGUAAGAAAUAAU